GGAUGUGAGGGCUAUCUGGCUACAACAUCUGUCACCCCAUUGAUCGCAAGGGUUGAUUUGGCUGAUCUGGCUGGCUAGGCAGUGUCCCCUUCCUCCCUCACUGCUCCAUGUGCAUCCCUCCUGAAUCUGUGUGCUCAGUGGAAGAGGACGGCCUUCCCCAAAUAGAGACGGACUGGUCUUCUGUCAAGGGUAUAGGAGUAGUUGCACUCCCCUGCUAGAACCUCCAAACAAGCUCUCAUAUAGCCUUUAGGUUCAUGAUUUGUCAACAAUUUAUUUGGCCUUAUAUGUUAACUCUUCUUUGGGCUUCCAGGUUCCAGAUGCUACUAUGAUGCCAACCAGA
Erinaceus europaeus (western European hedgehog) is the source of this 340-nucleotide unclassified non-coding RNA. Its record names the gene 7SK. It matches the Rfam family "7SK RNA". Rfam says of the family: 7SK was discovered as an abundant small nuclear RNA in the mid-70s but a possible function has only recently been suggested. Two independent studies have found that 7SK RNA binds the CDK9/cyclin T complex (known as elongation factor P-TEFb). The record is from Ensembl. NCBI's taxonomy places the organism in Eukaryota, Metazoa, Chordata, Mammalia, Eulipotyphla, Erinaceidae.